UACGGACGCGACGACCGGCGUUGUGGGAACGAAAGGGCCUUCGGGUCGUAAACCACUGUCGAAGGGUAAGAUAUUGACGGUACCGUUUCGAGGUAAGCCCCGGCUAAACUUACCGUGC
This 118-nucleotide ribosomal RNA is filed under the name uncultured bacterium. RNAcentral describes it as "partial 16S ribosomal RNA". The record is from RNAcentral.